UACGUAGGGGGCUAGCGUUGUCCGGAAUCAUUGGGCGUAAAGCGCGUGUAGGCGGUCCGGUAAGUCCGCUGUGAAAGUCGGGGGCUCAACCCUCGGAUGCCGGUGGAUACUGUCGGGCUUGAGUACGGAAGAGGCGAGUGGAAUUCCUGGUGUAGCGGUGAAAUGCGCAGAUAUCAGGAGGAACACCAAUUGCGAAGGCAGCUCGCUGGGACGUUACUGACGCUGAGACGCGAAAGCGUGGGGAGCGAACAGG
RNAcentral lists this ribosomal RNA (253 nucleotides) under uncultured bacterium. RNAcentral's name for it is "partial 16S ribosomal RNA". It matches the Rfam family "Bacterial small subunit ribosomal RNA", at positions 524 to 776 of the family's 1533-position model. The record is from RNAcentral.